Molecule: ribosomal RNA, 468 nt
Filed under: uncultured bacterium
Lineage: Bacteria
Description: partial 16S ribosomal RNA
Rfam family: Bacterial small subunit ribosomal RNA
Source: RNAcentral
GACGAACGCUGGCGGCGUGCUUAACACAUGCAAGUCGAACGGAAAGGCCCUUCUUUUGUUGGGUGCUCGAGUGGCGAACGGGUGAGUAACACGUGAGUAGCCUGCCCUUGACUUUGGGAUAACUUCAGGAAACUGUGGCUAAUACCGGAUAGGAGCUCCUGCUGCAUGGUGGUGGUUGGAAAGUUUCGGCGGUUGUGGAUGGACUGGCGGCUUAUCAGCUUGUUGGUGGGGUAGUGGCUUACCAAGGCUUUGACGGGUAGCCGGCCUGAGAGGGUGACCGGCCAAAUUGGGACUGAGAUACGGCCCAGCCUCCUACGGGAGGAAGCAGUGGGGAAUAUUGCACAAUGGGCGGAAGCCUGAUGAAGCAACGCCGCGUGCGGGAUGACGGCCUUCGGGUUGUAAACCGCUUUAGCCUGUGACGAAGCGUGAGUGACGGUAAUGGGUAAAGAAGCACCGGCUAACUACGUG